CCUACGGGUGGCUGCAGUCGAGAAUCAUUCACAAUGGGGGAAACCCUGAUGGUGCGACGCCGCGUGGGGGAAUGAAGGUCUUCGGAUUGUAAACCCCUGUCAUGUGGGAGCAAAUUAAAAAGAUAGUACUACAAGAGGAAGAGACGGGUAACUCUGUGCCAGCAGCCGCGGUAAUACAGCGGUCUCAAGCGUUGUUCGGAUUCACUGGGCGUAAGGCGUGCGUAGGCUGUUUCGUAAGUCGUGUGUGAAAGGCGCGGGCUCAACCCGCGGACGGCACAUGAUACUGCGAGACUAGAGUAAUGGAGGGGGAACCGGAAUUCUCGGUGUAGCAGUGAAAUGCGUAGAUAUCGAGAGGAACACUCGUGGCGAAGGCGGGUUCCUGGACAUUAACUGACGCUGAGGCACGAAGGCCAGGGGAGCGAAAGGGAUUAGAUACCCCAGUAGUC
RNAcentral lists this ribosomal RNA (446 nucleotides) under uncultured bacterium. RNAcentral's name for it is "partial 16S ribosomal RNA". It matches the Rfam family "Bacterial small subunit ribosomal RNA", at positions 338 to 795 of the family's 1533-position model. The record is from RNAcentral.